Molecule: long non-coding RNA, 101 nt
Organism: Austrofundulus limnaeus
Lineage: Eukaryota; Metazoa; Chordata; Actinopteri; Cyprinodontiformes; Rivulidae
Exons: 3
Source: RefSeq, a predicted model, not a curated record
UAUAAAUGUCCCAGGUCAGAGAAUAUAAACGUUUCAGGUCAGAGAAUAUAAACGUUUCAGGUCAGAGAAUAUAAACGUUUCAGGUCAGAGACAAGAAAUGU